RNAcentral lists this ribosomal RNA (549 nucleotides) under uncultured Glomus. RNAcentral describes it as "SSU rRNA". It matches the Rfam family "Eukaryotic small subunit ribosomal RNA", at positions 548 to 1098 of the family's 1831-position model. The record is from RNAcentral. Lineage: Eukaryota; Fungi; Glomeromycota; Glomeromycetes; Glomerales; Glomeraceae.
UUGGAGGGCAAGUCUGGUGCCAGCAGCCGCGGUAAUUCCAGCUCCAAUAGCGUAUAUUAAAGUUGUUGCAGUUAAAAAGCUCGUAGUUGAAUUUCGGGAUCAAUAUAUCGGUCGUGCCAUUGGUACGUACUGGUAUCAUUGGUUUCUCCUUUCUGACGAACCAUGAUGUCAUUAAUUUGGUGUUAUGGGAAGUUAGGACUGUUACUUUGAAAAAAUUAGAGUGUUUAAAGCAGGCUUUAGCUUGAAUACAUUAGCAUGGAAUAAUGAAAUAGGACGUUCGAACCUAUUUUGUUGGUUUCUAGGAUCAACGUAAUGAUUAAUAGGGAUAGUUGGGGGCAUUAGUAUUCAAUUGUCAGAGGUGAAAUUCUUGGAUUUAUUGAAGACUAACUACUGCGAAAGCAUUUGCCAAGGAUGUUUUCAUUAAUCAAGAACGAAAGUUAGGGGAUCGAAGACGAUCAGAUACCGUCGUAGUCUUAACCAUAAACUAUGCCGACUAGGGAUCGGAUGAUGUUAAUUUUUUAAUGACUCAUUCGGCACCUUACGGGAAAC